This 274-nucleotide ribosomal RNA is filed under the name uncultured bacterium. RNAcentral describes it as "partial 16S ribosomal RNA". It matches the Rfam family "Bacterial small subunit ribosomal RNA", at positions 523 to 796 of the family's 1533-position model. The record is from RNAcentral.
AUACGUAGGGUGCGAGCGUUAAUCGGAAUUACUGGGCGUAAAGCGUGCGCAGGCGGUUUUGUAAGACAGGCGUGAAAUCCCCGGGCUCAACCUGGGAAUGGCGCUUGUGACUGCAAGGCUAGAGUGCGUCAGAGGGGGGUAGAAUUCCACGUGUAGCAGUGAAAUGCGUAGAGAUGUGGAGGAAUACCGAUGGCGAAGGCAGCCCCCUGGGACGAGACUGACGCUCAUGCACGAAAGCGUGGGGAGCAAACAGGAUUAGAAACCCGAGUAGUCC